RNAcentral lists this transfer RNA (76 nucleotides) under Candidatus Colimorpha enterica. RNAcentral's name for it is "tRNA-Thr". It matches the Rfam family "tRNA". From Rfam's summary of the family: Transfer RNA (tRNA) molecules are approximately 80 nucleotides in length. Their secondary structure includes four short double-helical elements and three loops (D, anti-codon, and T loops). Further hydrogen bonds mediate the characteristic L-shaped molecular structure. tRNAs have two regions of fundamental functional importance: the anti-codon, which is responsible for specific mRNA codon recognition, and the 3' end, to which the tRNAs corresponding amino acid is attached (by aminoacyl-tRNA synthetases). tRNAs cope with the degeneracy of the genetic code in two manners: having more than one tRNA (with a specific anti-codon) for a particular amino acid; and 'wobble' base-pairing, i.e. permitting non-standard base-pairing at the 3rd anti-codon position. The record is from RNAcentral. Lineage: Bacteria; Pseudomonadati; Bacteroidota; Bacteroidia; Bacteroidales.
GCUGCUAUGGCUCAGUUGGUAGAGCGCAUCCUUGGUAAGGAUGAGGUCAUCAGUUCGAUUCUGAUUAGCAGCUCCA